GUUUGAUCCUGGCUCAGGACGAACGCUGGCGGCGUGGAUUAGGCAUGCAAGUUGAGCGACGGAUAGUCUUCGGACUAUUACGGAGCAGCGAACGGGUGAGUAACACGUGAACAAUCUGUCCCUUCAUUCCGGAUAAUUGGGAGAAAUCCCUUGUAAUACGGGCGAGGGUCCUCGGGGUGCAUACUUUGAGGAAGGAAGGCGCAAGCCGUGCAGGGAGGAGUUCGCGGCCUAUCAGUUAGUUGGUGGGGUAACGGCCUACCAAGACUACGACGGGUAGCUGGUCUGAGAGGAUGGUCAGCCACAUUGGAACUGAGACACUGUCCAGACUCCUACGGGAGGCUGCAGUCGAGAAUCUUGGGCAAUGCACGAAAGUGUGACCCAGCGACGCCGCGUGAAGGAUGAAGGCCCUCUGGGUCGUAAACUUCUUUUAAGGGGGAAGAAUAAAUGACGGUACCCCUUGAAUAAGCCACGGCUAACUACGUGCCAGCAGCCGCGGUAAUACGUAGGUGGCAAGCGUUGUCCGGAUUUACUGGGCGUAAAGCGUAUGCAGGCGGACCGUUAAGUAGGAAGUGAAAGGUUGGAGCUCAACUCUAACACUGCUCCCUAUACUGGCGGUCUUGAGUGGCGGAGAGGAAGACUGAACGACACGUGUAGCGGUGAA
Molecule: ribosomal RNA, 661 nt
Filed under: uncultured bacterium
Lineage: Bacteria
Description: bacterial SSU rRNA
Rfam family: Bacterial small subunit ribosomal RNA
Source: RNAcentral